CCUUACCCCUACCCGAAAGGGCAGAGAGGCUGUUUCCAAUCGACCCUCGGCUCAGUCAAGGAAAGGAAAAAAAAAAACAAAAAUAAAAACAAAAACGAAAAACAAAAAUAAAAGAGCGUUAGUAACUCCAACAGAAAUAGCGUAAGCCUAAGGCCUACCACAUGUUUGAAAUAUACUACUUAGCAAACCAUACAGUAAUAACAGAACGUGGCUAUUACAUUGUCAAUCCCUUUUUAAUUAGUAUAUAUGGGAGAUUUAUUAACUAAAUGACUCUACAUAAAUAUUGUUCAUUUAUACAUAAACAAACACCUACAUGAUUCUAGUGAAAGAAGUAUUCUAAUGUAUAUACAAACAAGUAAACAACUACAAUGAAUUUAAAACUUCAAAUCUUAAUUUCUUUGUAUUCAUGCUUCAAUUUCAACUAACAGGAUAUAGCAAUGUAUCAGUUUGUGUACCUGGUAUUUGGAAAAGCAAAGAAGAGGAAGAUCAGUAGAAGCAACAGUAGUGUAAGCAGCAACACAACAACACAGGUUCACCAACACAACAGAACCAGUAGCAAACAGUAGCAGAAAUCCCAGGAAAGAUUUAAAACCAAGCAGGGAAAACCAGGAACUUCCAAACCAUCAGAAAACCAAUAGUAAACCCUAUCAACACCACUUGAAUACUAGUAGUACUAUAGUGUAAGCAGCGACACAACAACACAGGUUCAGCAACAUAAAAGACCCAAUAGCAAACAGUAGCAGAAAUCCUAGGAAUGAUUUAAAACCAAACAGGAAAACCCCGAAACUUUCAAACCAACAGAAAACAAAGACACUCAACUGAAACAGUGUUCAAACCCCAACAGAAAAGCCCAGUAGCAGAUUCCACCACCAAGCAGUACCAAAUGAUAAUCACAGACAAAGAGAAGAGAGGCAGCCACAAAAGAAGCAUCACUUUCAGUUUAUGAACUCUCAAAAACUAACUGACUUCUCGAUGAAAAGGUCAUCCUAUAUUUGCUUCCUAACUUUGAAACCUUAGUGUAAGUUUCAACCGAUGUUUUGCACUCAAUACUGACUUCUAUUUCACUCUUAAGCUCUGACUUUCUAAUCUCCAAAAAUCAGUUUUAAACUGUAUCUCUCUCUCGACUUUCUCUCCAAAAAAUUCAUUCCCUAAUUAAGUGUCAAAUGACUCCUAUUUAUACCCAAAGCAUACCCCUUUCAGCCCUUCUUUUCUUUUACAGUUGUAAAAGAAGCCUUCUAUUAUUACCCCCUACUUUUUUUUACUUUUCAGGUCUAAUAUUCUUCUACUAUGUGAACCCUUUUAGCCUUUUAUCAUUAACCUACUAUUUCUAAUUUCCAAUUACCAAAAGCAUUAGGCCCAUCCCUUAUUAAUUAGUUCAAUUUAAAGCAUAUCAAGGCCCUACUUGGACAGACUACUUAGUCAAACCAUUUUUCAACUGUUCCAUUCCCAAAUUACCCUUGAAACCCCCUGACUGUUACUGUAUUACCCUAAGCUUAGAAGUCUGAAGUUACAACCUAUAUAAACUUACACCUGAUUUCAGGUUGAACUAUUAGAUCACUACAUCUAUAUCCAAUUCUUAGCUUAGGCUCAAACAAAUCAUAACACAGAAGGGGUGUUAAUCAAAUGGCAUGAGUUGGUCAUAUUGGGAACCAAUCCUGACCAACUCAAAACCAACUGAUCAAUAUGGAGUUGAUAAUGCAAGCUAAGGAAUGAGGCAGUAUCAAUCAGGUCAUAGCACAGACAAGAGAAAUAUGCACGUAAUUACACUAACAUGAGCAAACUCAUGCUUCUCUAGUUUUUCAGAUGAUUUUAGUUGACGACACUUAUUUAAUCGACUAACAAACUAUGACAUUUCAACAAUUAACAACAAACAAGCAGACUAAACAGGUCAACAGGUGAUUGAGUGUCGAACUAAUCGUCCACUUUUAACCAAGUUAAAUACACAGUUCAUCGCAAACAGAUAUAAUUAACAAACAAAGAAGAUCGACCAAAUAAAAGGUCUGUUAGAGAUGAACUUGAAAUGAAAGAAAAAUGAAAAAUUAAAUAAACUAAGCUAAACAUGUAGCAGAUAAGAAUCAUGCAUAUAAAACAGAAGGAAAAAGAAAAGGUACCUCAGGCACUCAAAAAACACAGAUGACCCAGGCUUGAAUCGGACUUGACCUGCUUGAGGUCGAACGGAAUUUAAUCGAAGUGUUCUCAACUGAGAACACCUCGAUUAAGGUCUGUUAGACCCUAAUCCCUCUUUUAAUUGGAAAGAUUCCAUAAUUUUGAAUUCUAGGGUUCAUACGGUCUAAUUUGGGGCUUGAAGCUUUUUGGUUAGAUUCGAACCAAACCAAGCUUGAUUUGGUUAAGAUGGAGGUCAGGGGAGUAACUGGUGUGAUUUGGGGAGGGAUUGGCAUAGAUUAGGUUUUGGCUCAAAUCUUCAAAUGAAGAUUCGACAAGAUUUAGGUUGAUUCGAGCCAAACUAACACUGGAUUUGGAUUCAGGGCGGCUAGAUGGAUCUAUGGUGUUAAGGAGGUGGUCGGCGGCGUUGAUGCCGCCGGGUUUCAGGCAAAGGCGAACUAAAGCGGCUAGAGUUUGAACCCUAAGCUCCGUCUAUGAAUGAGAGAGAUAGAGAGAGAAAUGAGGGUGUUUGGUUAUGGGAGCGUGGGGUGAGAUACAGAGGUUUAUAUACGAGGGUGGGUGAUUUGAUCCUGGCUGUUGGAUCAAAUGAGAUUGAUGGCCAGGAUCUCUUCAUUAAGGGGAACAAUGCCGUUUUGAUUAAAUGAAGAUUGGGUCGGUCUUGGGGGUGAAAUGGGUCGGGUAUAUAAGAGUGAUUGAGGCUGUUGGAUUGACUGAGAUGAAUGGCCCUGAUCAAAGCUCCUGAACGUUGU
Molecule: long non-coding RNA, 2873 nt
Filed under: Nicotiana benthamiana
Lineage: Eukaryota; Viridiplantae; Streptophyta; Magnoliopsida; Solanales; Solanaceae
Description: long non-coding RNA (NBEN_LNC031296)
Source: RNAcentral